RNAcentral lists this long non-coding RNA (1268 nucleotides) under Olea europaea (common olive). Its description in RNAcentral is "long non-coding RNA (OEUR_LNC013511)". The record is from RNAcentral. Lineage: Eukaryota; Viridiplantae; Streptophyta; Magnoliopsida; Lamiales; Oleaceae.
CUUUAUUGACCUCAACUAUAUCAGUGACUUUUACAUGACAUUAUUCAAUGUUUUUGCUUCUCCUUAUAUCUAUAAAAAGGCCAUAUAAAAGGGAUUAUAUAGAGAAAUAAAGAGAGAGGGAGUUUCAUCGUACAAUGACUAUGCCUUUGUUCAAUAUCUUGAGCUGUUUUUCAGAGCAAUCCGAGAGGGGCAGUCGAUACAUAUGCGAUGGCGAUGUGUGUUAUUUGCGCGAUCCAAAGGCAACGAGCGCCAAGAAAAAAAAUGAGCGAAAGCGAAGCGUUCGGAUUUCAUUUUCGCGGCUUUCAACAAGAAAUGAUUAAUUUACUGAUGUUCUAAAUUUUCUUGUCAAUAAGGGCUUAGUUGAAUAAGCCCUUUGUACACACUAUUGAUAGAAUCUUAUGGAUAAUCUCUAGAGCAAAAAUCAGGGUCAGAAGGUGCAGUGGUAACACUAAUCCUUUGUAUGGUGAUUGCUGCAAUUGAUGUUGGGAUAUAAGAAAUUUGAUCUUUCAGAAUUAUUCUUUUUAUAUGCAUUUAUAUAUACUUUGUACAUGUAGACUAUAAAAAGUAGAGAUUAUCUAAUAUAGAAAGAGGAUUUUAUUCAAGUGGUAAGAGCAAAGGUUUUUUAGAUCAAUAAUCCAAGUUCGAGUUUCAUUUAAAAGAAGGGUGAAAUUCGAAAAAAAAAGAAGAAAAAAAGAGAUGAGAGAUUGAUAGAUUAAUUGAUAUUUUUGUUGAAAAAAGUUAACUGUUCGAAGGAGGAAAUUGUCUUCGUUCUUUCAUGAAAGGAAGAAAAUUAAAUUUGGAGGAGAUUUCAAUUUAGAGAUUGUUUGAUUUUAAUAAAAAUUGAUCAAUUGUAUGGUUGAAAAUUGAUAAAAAUUGUAUCUCAUGAAAUGUGUGAUAAAAUUAAGUUUGAUUAGUUAAGGUUAAUAAAGUUUUACUUUUAUUGAACAAACACUUAUUGUAGUUGCACGUUUUCAAGUUCAUACAUAUUUUAUUACAAUUCUAAAAAAUUUUCCUUCAAAAUUUAUUACCUUCAUUAAAAGUACAGGCUUCAAAUUAAAAUACUAUUUUUGGGGAUACUUUUACCCUCGAAAAACAAUCCAUGAUUCGCUAAUGUUUAUAAUUGAUCGAACCAAUUUUUAUUCACGUAUUUUCGUAAGAUCCACGAACAUUAUUCACUAACUCAUAAUUCAAUUUUUUUUUUUUUUUUUGCCAGAAUAUGUUAGUUUACUUGGCGACGAUGCAUGAAGUCCUAGGAUAAUAAUACAUUG